RNAcentral lists this long non-coding RNA (1812 nucleotides) under Aphidius gifuensis. RNAcentral describes it as "uncharacterized LOC122851948, transcript variant X1". The record is from RNAcentral. Lineage: Eukaryota; Metazoa; Arthropoda; Insecta; Hymenoptera; Braconidae.
UAUUCUUUUUCACUUGAGGUCAGAUAUUAAUUCGUCGUGUAAUUUCUUCCAUUGUAUCUGGCUCUAUUUUCUAAAUGUGUAUAUCUAUGUACGUAGUGCGGCUCAAUUUUAUUGUUUGUCACGCUCAAUGAGCAUUAGAAAUGUAUUACUCCGCCGUAUUUCGAUUUUAUUCUUGAAAUGUAUUCCACUGUGUCUGGCUGGUAUAAUUCCGUCUUACAUAGUUUGUCGUUAUAACUGUGUGUUAUUAAUUGAUAAUUUGUGCCUUGUUAAUUAUAUUUGAUGAGUAAAAAUGACAUUGAAAUUCAUUUUAAACAAGUAUGGCAACAAAGAGCUGUUGGUAGACGGGUUUUUGUUUACACGUCAGUAUACUGGAAAAAAAGAAAUUACUUGGCGUUGUCAAUCAUAUGAAUCUUAUGAUUGUGCUGCUAAAGCUCAUACAACAAAUGUUUCUUGUACAGUUUGAGAUUAUGUGGGACAUACGUUCAUCCUGGUGAUCCUGUCGGUAUUGCAAAAUAAAAAGUGUUGUCCAAGUUACGUUCACGUGCACAAAAAUCGUCAGACAAUACCAAAUCGAUUGUGGCUUAGUGUAUAUCUAACGUGCUUUCACCAGUUGCUGCUGCAUUGCCUCGAGUUGAGUCAAUGCGUCGGCAAGUACAACGUAUAUGUCAUGACGUGCGUCCAUAUUUAGCAACGCCAAAAUCUGUAGAUGAGUUAAUUCUACCUGAUGAAUUUACAUGUACGUGAAAAGGUGAUGAAUUUUCGUUGUAUGAUAGUGGUGGUAAAAAUCAGAUUUUAAUUUUUACGACUGAUAAAAAUUUAAAUUUUUUAGCUUCAUGUCCAGUGAUUCUGUGUGAUGGAACUUUUUAUUCUAUUCCAAGUAUUUUUGCGCAAUUGUAUACGUUUCAUGGUUAGAAUGAAUCCGAUAUGACAUUGCCUGUUGUAUACGUAUUAAUGUCUAAUAGACGUCUUGCAUCAUAUGUAAAGGUUUUGAAUGUUUUGUUACAAUUAAAACCUGAAAUUAAGCCAGUUUAAAUUUUAAUUGAUUUUGAGAAUGCUUUUGUUAAAGCAGUACAUGAAGUUUUUCCAGAUUCAAUUGUGUGUGGUUGUAACUUUCAUUUUAAUCAGUGUUUUGGCGUAAUGUUCAAUGUAAUGGUCUAUUUAUUCUUUAUAAUAAUGAUAUAAAUUAUUCUACUGAUAUUAGAAUGUUGGCAGAAUUAGCUUUUGUGCCUAUUUGUGAUUUAGAUUUUGCUCUGUUGAUCACAAUCUUUGUUGAUAAUGCUGAUGAAUUAGAACCGUUGUUGGGAUAUCUUAAGCCAACCUGGUUGGGUCUUAAAAGUACUCGUUGUCAUCGUAAGCCUUUCAAGACAUAUUAUGUGGAAUUGUUAUGAACGCGUUAUUUGUAAUCAGCCUCGUACUACAAAUGCUGUUAAAGGUUGGCACAAUUCUUUUAAUAAACGAGUGUCACGUGCUCAUCCCACAAUUGGUGAAUUUAUCAAUUGUAUGAAAGAUGAACAAGCAAAUACUGAGUUGACGUUGGCUCAAAUAAGUGUUCAACGCGUGGUCCUACAACAUAAACGACGUAGAUAUGUUGAAUAUGAUAAUCGUUUAGAAAAAAUUGUUGAAAGUUAUAAAAAAUAUAAUAUUAUUUGUUACUUGAGAGCUGUAGGUUUGAAUUUAGAAAUGUAAUUAAUAAUUUUUGUUCAUUGAUCUGGUGGUCGUACCACAUAAACGACGUCGAUAUGUUAAAAUGAUAAUUGUUUAAAAAAAAUUGUGGGAAAAUAUGAAAAAGAUAAUAUUAUUUGUUAUUUAAGA